Molecule: ribosomal RNA, 400 nt
Filed under: uncultured bacterium
Lineage: Bacteria
Description: bacterial SSU rRNA
Rfam family: Bacterial small subunit ribosomal RNA
Source: RNAcentral
UGGGGAAUAUUGCACAAUGGGCGCAAGCCUGAUGCAGCCAUGCCGCGUGUGUGAAGAAGGCCUUCGGGUUGUAAAGCACUUUCAGCGAGGAGGAAGGCAUCAUACUUAAUACGUGUGGUGAUUGACGUUACUCGCAGAAGAAGCACCGGCUAACUCCGUGCCAGCAGCCGCGGUAAUACGGAGGGUGCAAGCGUUAAUCGGAAUUACUGGGCGUAAAGCGCACGCAGGCGGUUUGUUAAGUCAGAUGUGAAAUCCCCGCGCUUAACGUGGGAACUGCAUUUGAAACUGGCAAGCUAGAGUCUUGUAGAGGGGGGUAGAAUUCCAGGUGUAGCGGUGAAAUGCGUAGAGAUCUGGAGGAAUACCGGUGGCGAAGGCGGCCCCCUGGACAAAGACUGACGCU